Molecule: ribosomal RNA, 646 nt
Filed under: uncultured actinomycete
Lineage: Bacteria; Bacillati; Actinomycetota; Actinomycetes; Actinomycetales
Description: bacterial SSU rRNA
Rfam family: Bacterial small subunit ribosomal RNA
Source: RNAcentral
CGCCGGGCCCUAUCAGCUUGUUGGUGGGGUAACGGCCCACCAAGGCGACGACGGGUAGCCGGCCUGAGAGGGCGACCGGCCACACUGGGACUGAGACACGGCCCAGGCUCCUACGGGAGGCAGCAGUGGGGAAUAUUGCACAAUGGGCGCAAGCCUGAUGCAGCGACGCCGCGUGAGGGAUGACGGCCUUCGGGUUGUAAACCUCUUUCAGCAGGGAAGAAGCGAAAGUGACGGUACCUGCAGAAGAAGCGCCGGCUAACUACGUGCCAGCAGCCGCGGUAAUACGUAGGGCGCAAGCGUUGUCCGGAAUUAUUGGGCGUAAAGAGCUCGUAGGCGGUUUGUCGCGUCUGCUGUGAAAACGCGAGGCUCAACCUCGCGCCUGCAGUGGGUACGGGCAGACCAGAGUGCGGUAGGGGAGACUGGAAUUCCUGGUGUAGCGGUGGAAUGCGCAGAUAUCAGGAGGAACACCGGUGGCGAAGGCGGGUCUCUGGGCCGUAACUGACGCUGAGGAGCGAAAGCAUGGGGAGCGAACAGGAUUAGAUACCCUGGUAGUCCAUGCCGUAAACGUUGGGCACUAGGUGUGGGGCUCACUCCACGAGUUCCGUGCCGCAGCAAACGCAUUAAGUGCCCCGCCUGGGGAGUACGG